Molecule: ribosomal RNA, 467 nt
Filed under: uncultured bacterium
Lineage: Bacteria
Description: partial 16S ribosomal RNA
Rfam family: Bacterial small subunit ribosomal RNA
Source: RNAcentral
GACGAACGCUGGCGGCGUGCUUAACACAUGCAAGUCGAACGGAAAGGCCUCUUUCGGGGGGUACUCGAGUGGCGAACGGGUGAGUAACACGUGAGUAACCUGCCCUUGACUUUGGGAUAACUUCAGGAAACUGGGGCUAAUACCGGAUAGGAGCUCCUGCUGCAUGGUGGGGGUUGGAAAGUUUCGGCGGUUGGGGAUGGACUCGCGGCGUAUCCGCUUGUUGGUGGGGUAGUGGCUUACCAAGGCUUUGACGGGUAGCCGGCCUGAGAGGGUGACCGGCCACAUUGGGACCGAGGGACGGCCCAGACUCCGACGGGAGGCAGCAGGGGGGAAUAUUGCACAAUGGGUGGAAGCCUGAUGCAGCAACGCCGUGUGCGGGAAGACGGCCUUCGGGUUGUAAACCGCUUUCGCUCAUGACGAAGCUUUGUGUGACGGUAGUGGGUAAAGAAGCACCGGCUAACUACGUG